RNAcentral lists this ribosomal RNA (199 nucleotides) under uncultured bacterium. RNAcentral's name for it is "partial 16S ribosomal RNA". It matches the Rfam family "Bacterial small subunit ribosomal RNA", at positions 1302 to 1500 of the family's 1533-position model. The record is from RNAcentral.
AGGCUGCAACUCGCCUGCAUGAAGACGGAAUUGCUAGUAAUCGCAGAUCAGCAUGCUGCGGUGAAUACGUUCCCGGGCCUUGUACACACCGCCCGUCACACCAUGGGAGUCGGUAACACCCAAAGUUGGUAGCCUAACCGCAAGGAGGGCGCCGCCUAAGGUGGGAUUGAUGACUGGGGUGAAGUCGUAACAAGGUAUC